RNAcentral lists this ribosomal RNA (519 nucleotides) under uncultured bacterium. RNAcentral describes it as "partial 16S ribosomal RNA". It matches the Rfam family "Bacterial small subunit ribosomal RNA", at positions 28 to 507 of the family's 1533-position model. The record is from RNAcentral.
GACGAACGCUGGCGGCGUGCCUAAUACAUGCAAGUCGAGCGAGUCUGCCUUGAAGAUCGGAGUGCUUGCACUCUGUGAAACAAGAUACAGGCUAGCGGCGGACGGGUGAGUAACACGUGGGUAACCUGCCCAAGAGAUCGGGAUAACACCUGGAAACAGAUGCUAAUACCGGAUAACAACAGAUGAUGCCUAUCAACUGUUUAAAAGAUGGUUCUGCUAUCACUCUUGGAUGGACCUGCGGUGCAUUAGCUAGUUGGUAGGGUAACGGCCUACCAAGGCGAUGAUGCAUAGCCGAGUUGAGAGACUGGUCGGCCACAUUGGGACUGAGACACGGCCCAAACUCCUACGGGAGGCAGCAGUAGGGAAUCUUCCACAAUGGACGCAAGUCUGAUGGAGCAACGCCGCGUGAGUGAAGAAGGGUUUCGGCUCGUAAAGCUCUGUUGUUGGUGAAGAAGGACAGGGGUAGUAACUGACCUUUGUUUGACGGUAAUCAAUGAGAAAGUCACGGCUAACUACGUG